UCGUAUAGAAAUACGAUGACGCGGAUAUAGAUAGUCGGAAUCAAUUUUGGUUUGUGAUUAUGUGGUUAUAUGGUUGAGUCGGUCUAGAGUAUAUCCUAGAAUUUAGAGUUAUUACAUUUAUUAAUGUUUAAUCUCUAAAUUAGAUCCAGCGAAUUUUGUCGCGGAAACCGGCGAGCAAAGGUUUCGAUAUUCGACGGGUGGUAUUUUUAUAUUUGGAAUAAGCGAGUACUGCGAGUAGUUUGACGUGUGGAUUUCCAAUUUCUUGUUCCGGAAAUCCCUGGCUUGAAUAAAGUGAGAAUGACCUUUCCUUUAUGUGUCUAGAGUUGCAGUAGCUAGAAUAAUGAACGGUGAUACCUUAGUAGUCGUUGGACUUAUUUAUGCUUUAUAUUUCAUAACGCUUAAACUCUGAUAUAAUGUAAUAUGUGAAUGCUGUGCGAAAGUCCGAGCGACUGCACGAGUAUAAAAUGCGGCGAGCGCAUCUGCAUAAUGAAAUGCAGUUAAAUCCAUAAUGAAAUGGUCUGCAUAAUGAAAUGCGGUUAAGUC
This is a long non-coding RNA of Mercurialis annua (annual mercury), 543 nucleotides long. RefSeq lists it as uncharacterized. The record is from RefSeq and is a predicted model, not a curated record. The transcript is spliced from 2 exons. Lineage: Eukaryota; Viridiplantae; Streptophyta; Magnoliopsida; Malpighiales; Euphorbiaceae.